UACAGAGGGUGCAAACGUUGUUCGGAAUUACUGGGCGUAAAGCGUGCGCAGGCGGCGCGUUAAGACAGGUGUGAAAGCCCCGAGCUUAACUUGGGAAUUGCGCUUGUGACUGGCGUGCUGGAGUGUGGCAGAGGGAGGUGGAAUUCCACGUGUAGCAGUGAAAUGCGUAGAGAUGUGGAGGAACACCGAUGGCGAAGGCAGCCUCCUGGGCCAGCACUGACGCUCAUGCACGAAAGCGUGGGGAGCAAACAGG
RNAcentral lists this ribosomal RNA (253 nucleotides) under uncultured bacterium. RNAcentral's name for it is "partial 16S ribosomal RNA". It matches the Rfam family "Bacterial small subunit ribosomal RNA", at positions 524 to 776 of the family's 1533-position model. The record is from RNAcentral.